Ceratotherium simum simum (southern white rhinoceros) is the source of this 119-nucleotide non-coding RNA. Lineage: Eukaryota; Metazoa; Chordata; Mammalia; Perissodactyla; Rhinocerotidae. The record is from RefSeq and is a predicted model, not a curated record.
GUGAGACCUUUUAGAUCUGAUCUCCCUUAGCUACUUUCAAAUACGCAAUACAUAAUUAUUAACUAUAGUCACCAUGCUAUACGUUACAUCUCCAUGACUUAUUUAUUUUAUAACUGGAA